This 368-nucleotide ribosomal RNA is filed under the name Staphylococcus pseudintermedius. RNAcentral describes it as "partial 23S ribosomal RNA". It matches the Rfam family "Bacterial large subunit ribosomal RNA", at positions 1 to 357 of the family's 2925-position model. Lineage: Bacteria; Bacillati; Bacillota; Bacilli; Caryophanales; Staphylococcaceae. The record is from RNAcentral.
AUAUAGAUUAAGUUAUUAAGGGCGCACGGUGGAUGCCUUGGCACUAGAAGCCGACGAAGGACGUUACUAACGACGAUAUGCUUUGGGGAGCUGUAAGUAAGCUUUGAUCCAGAGAUUUCCGAAUGGGGAAACCCAGCACGAGUUAUGUCGUGUUAUCUGCAUGUGAAUACAUAGCAUGCAAGAAGGCAGACCCGGAGAACUGAAACAUCUUAGUACCCGGAGGAAGAGAAAGAAAAAUCGAUUCCCUGAGUAGCGGCGAGCGAAACGGGAAGAGCCCAAACCAAUAAGCUUGCUUAUUGGGGUUGUAGGACACUCUGUACGGAGUUACAAAAGAAUUGGUUAGACGAAUAACCUGGAAAGGUUAAUCA